CUCACAGAGUCUCCUGAUCACAAGACCCAGCCGUGAUUCAGAGGCUCUCCAGCGUCCUGUGCAGACAUUCCUGGUCAGGCUGUUCUCCUGGCUUGCAAGUGGCAUGGAUUCCUUCUGCU
Long non-coding RNA from Dama dama (fallow deer), 119 nucleotides. RefSeq lists it as uncharacterized. The transcript is spliced from 3 exons. NCBI's taxonomy places the organism in Eukaryota, Metazoa, Chordata, Mammalia, Artiodactyla, Cervidae. The record is from RefSeq and is a predicted model, not a curated record.